AUCACGACGGCACGACGCGUUUGCAAUUACAUUAUAAUAAUUCAUAGACAUUACUAUAGUUAGUAGUUAGUAGUUACUAGUAAGUCUAGUAUUACUAUGUUAGACCAAAUACUUAUAUAUAACCUAUAGUAAUCUAUCAGACUGGAAUGCUCGACUUGCUCUCACUCUGUAGUCUGUAGAUACUUAUAAAAAUUAUUUAUUUAUUUUUAGUAUCAACAUUAUUUGUCGUGGUAUUUACCUACUCUAUACCUAUUUUAUUUAAAAUUAUUUCUGUUGUUUCCAUUUAAUUGUAUUUAUUGUUUUCAUUAUAAAAUGGCUAACUAUUUUGAUUUUCACAGAUUGGAGUUAAUGAAAAUCCUAAAGUACUAAUGUCUUUUUUCAUAACUUAAAAAUAUGUUCACCCAGGAUUAGUUAAACGUCUCCUGCCAAGUGUUUCAAUUAUUAAUGAGCCAAGUACAAGAUUUGCAAUUGUGUUUUGUUUGAAAGGACUGAAGUCAAGUUAUUUUCUAUUAAUGAUUCAAUGUAUUAAAUACCAAAGGUGAAAUGGAUAUUUCAUUGAUAUCAGCUGUAUUUUAUCAAGGCUUAGAAAAAAAUGAAAAUUUAUAUGCUCAGAAUUCUGCUAGCUGUGUAAAAAGUAUAAACGAUGAAGAUGAGAUUGCAUUAUUGUUAUCAGUUAAUUUACCUUCUACUCUGCCGUUCAUGAAUAUAGAAAGCACUUCCAAUAUAUUAGUUAUUAAAAACCCUUUUAACGAAUGCUUCAGAUAUUCCAUGUUGUCGCUUUCUAAAAUAUGGAAUUCGGGCGUUAACGGAUGAGCUUGCUAUUAAAAAUCUGAAGCUCAAAACAGUUUGGAAAUGAGUUAGCCGGCAGAAAAAUAAAAUAGCGACAAUGAAAAUAAUUAUCACAAAACUACAAAAAGAGAACUUCAUAAAUGAAUACAUUGAUUUCAUAUUUUUAUAAUCCUUUGGUAAUUAAUCAACGUAAAUGAAUCUUUGAUGAUCAUGUUUCAAAUUUUGAUUUUCUUUAUAAAUAUAAGCAUUUUCAACAAGCAAAUAGUCAACUUUCCAAAGUGGUCAAUAAGCAUAAUUGUAUAUAUCUAUAAUAAUCAAAAUAUGUUUGAUAUGGGAUUUGUUCAAUAUCUUAGAAAAAACAUUAUUAAAUCUACUUGUCGUCUAAAUGUGUACAGGUAUCCAAAGAUGAGCGUUAGUUUUCUGUCACUCCUGAAAUAAUUAGCUUUCAUACAGCUGAAUGAUUGACACGGUGCGUUACGGUCGCCAGUAUAAAGUACGGGCACCACAACGACCGAUCUUCACCUUACCAACCACCACCACGGGCAAAGUCGGUUCGACACAGUCAACUCUCCCACCUCACCACAAAGGCAUAGGGUGGGACGGGAAGACAGGUCGGCCCGGGCAAGUACCGGCCGCCCGGUUUCGUUCUCUUUUGCCACCGCCGUCAUCGCGCCAACACGCACCUUUGUCGUCGUGCAUAAAAUACAUAUCUUUUUCUUUUCUCCACCGUCAACACCAAUAUUGGUCGUUGUUAUCCACACUACAUUUCUUCGUCAUUCGCGUGUGAAAAUAAACGCUUAGCAAAAAACCACAAUCGGUGAUCGUCAUUUAUUGUUUCUUUUUUUUUUUUUGAAUCACCACCUCAACCUACACCUUUGAACGGGGUACCGCGGAACCUUAGACGCUAAACCCGCCGUCGCCACAUCAAAUUGGCUCCCCGGCGGGGAAUCGAACCCCGGUCUCCCGCGUGACAGGCGAGGAUACUUACCACUAUACUACCGAGGAAUAGUUGCAAUUUGAUUGUUGAUCCUUUCUGUGGAGUUGGCAGUGAUGUUACUCAAUUCGCUAAAAUGUGUGAGCUUAUUAAAGCUAUUGAUAUUUAUCCAAAACAAAUUGAAAUAAUCCGUUGCAACGCAGACUCAUAUGGUGAUGUUUAUUGAGUUAAAUUUUUGAUAUAAGACAAAAUUACAUUUUCGUAUUAAUUAGUAAUUAAUUAGUAAUUACUAAAUAAUUAUAUAUUAAACAUGAUAAUCAAUAAGUAAUCAUUAUCAUUAGGUAUGUUUUUUCAAACGGAAUAUAGCAGAAUGCUUGUUCAAUUCAAGGUUUAAUCUACCAUAUGGACUUAGCAAUGAAGAAACUACCACAUUGCACGUGUCAUAAUGGUUUGAAAUCAGAAUCAACUGAUUUAAUAAUUUUUAAUAUUCUAUAAUUUUGCUGUAUAUUUAGUGUUUGUUACAGUCUUAGUAAGAAACCAAUUGAUUAUGUAAAUUUUCCUUUGUAAACUUAUUAUAAGUAUUGUAUUCAUCAGUUAAUAAUUUAAUGUAUUAAUCUAUUAUGAAUCUAACUUAAGCUUACCAACUAUUUGUUUUUACAAAAUUUAAUGUGUAUUGUUGGACUCUGUAUUAUGUAAGCAUUCCGGUAGAACUGGAAAAGGAAAUUUUCCAGAUGUCCUAUAUUUAUUAUUAUGUUCCACUGAAUUAUAUAUGUUAUAUUAUUUAGAAAAUUAAAAAAUGCUUUAAAAAUA
Long non-coding RNA from Myzus persicae (green peach aphid), 2533 nucleotides. RefSeq lists it as uncharacterized. The record is from RefSeq and is a predicted model, not a curated record. Lineage: Eukaryota; Metazoa; Arthropoda; Insecta; Hemiptera; Aphididae. The transcript has 8 exons.